AAGAUCUCAUCUCUGAGUUAGAGUAAACUGUCAAGACUUAAAACUUACUUACUUUACCUUCACCAUGGGACUUGUAACUGUCACUUCUGUCUUGAGUGGUUAAAAGAUAGAACUGUCUGGCCAAGUGUCAUGUCUCUUAUUCUUGAUCAGCUAUAACUCUGGAGUUUUUGCAGAUUUUCAAAUAAAACUCAGAGAUUCCUUGUAUGACUCUCUUAAAUCUCUCUUUUGUGGUAUUUCUGGAUCCUUACCAAGGCAGUGAUGGUAUAUGCCUUCUCUCAAGAUAUGUGGUAUUUAUGGUAUAAAGCAUAGUGACAUUGUCUUCUCUCUCACCCUACUCUAAUAAGACUUUUAUAUCUGGAGCUCAUAGGUGGGAGAUAAAGUAUACAUACUUACAAGACAUUUAUUGUAUAGUCAAACCAUGGAUCCAAAGAAACAAAUCAAUAAGCCAAAUCAAGAUGUGCAUGUGUGGCGAAUGAAUGGUGUAUGGUGGAAGUCUAAUUCUACUUUGCUCUUUGAGGGAAUACAGACCUUCCUUGCUUUUGAAACUUUAUGAGGAGAAUGAGAUGCUCUUCUUUUUAUUUUCUUUUCUCUCAGGUGGGUAUCUUGUACCCCUAAUUCUACUGUCGGACACUUGUCCAUUUUUACCUCUCGUCUCACUUUUUCUUUCUUUCGAGGUUCAGAGCACUUGCUCCUUUUUAUUUUCUCGUAUUAUUUUUUUCUCUCUUUUUUUUUAUAAGCACUCAUCUCUUGAGAUAAUAUAGCAAGUGGUAGUAACAAGAUAACUUGAGCAUUUAUUUCACGUGGGAAAAACAUGAAUAUUUUUGGUUAUUCUCUCCCGGAUUAGGAGUAGAAUAUUUUUGGGUGAUUCUGGAGAUGGAAAUGGAUGGAUAUAUGUGGAUGGUACUUCCGGAGUAGAAGUAGCAUAUAUGAGUGAACGUGCAAGUGAAUCUUGAUUUAACCACAUGACAAGUUCCUAAGGGUCUACACAGCUUGACCACACUCAAUGCUCAUAAGUAGUAAAUAUUAAAUGUGUGGCUCAAAGUCUAGCAAGCAUGUAUAUAUGGCUGUGGUAGGAAUUUAAACUCUCAUCAUACAGGAACUCAUCAUGCAACAUUUUAAAGAUUUUCAAAGAUAAAAUUCUCCAGAAUUCUAGCAUCUCUAGGAACAGAUAAACAGAAGCUCAACCUUCCCAUAUCGUAUCCGUUAACAACUUAGACUUCAGAUCAAGUUUUCAUCCCAUAAGUUUAGGUUUAGAGCAAGCUUUAAAUUAUAACAGUUAUGUCUAAACUUGAGAGAGAACUUAAAAUGUGCAAAUUAGGCAGAGCAACUAUUCAUCAUAUCCAUGCUUAAGUUUUAUUUAGAUACAGAUUAGCAUAGCCACUUUAUUUAUUUAUUAAACACACUAAGCAAAAGAUAUAUAUAUAUAUAAGCACAAACUCUUUAUUUGGUUUUCCAUAGUUUAUGUGUAUUUAUAUUCUAAAAUAAUAUAAGUAUAAAGAUAGAUAGAAAUACUUAUCGAGAUAAAUGGGGGUGCUCUCCCCCAAGCUGAAUUUUGACGUAAUUUCCCUUGAUGUAGCUAGCAGGUGGCAGAGGUGUAUUUGAAAGUCAGCAGCAUUCUGACAGCGAUUAGAAUGUCCUCCGUCUGCCAGUCUUCUUGAUUCUUAAAUUCUGUGGAGUUCAAAUGGACAACAAAGCUUGUGGAACUGGUUAAGUGUUAGCAUAAAUAUCUAGCCUUUAUCAUGUUGAGACUCCUUAAUAAAUAUUACUUCCUGUUUUUAUAUUUUUAUUUUUUAUAGAGCAGAAAAAUAAUUAUUUUAUUUUUAUGCCACCACAGUGAAUGUACUUAUGGGUUUUAUGCCGCUCGUCUACUCACAUGGGGCUUACUGUUUUUCACAUUUUUAUUUUCUUUUAUUUUUAAGAUAGUAUGAACAUGAUUAACUAAGUAAACUAUUUAAAAUAAUUGAAAGGGAAAGGAUAACGACCAAGUUUACCUCUUGGCAAUGCGUUCGGUGUUUUUAAGUCCUCCGAACGGGACUCUCCAAUUAAUCAUCCUGAGGUUCGUUGGGUGGCGUAGUCGGUACUUCUGGCAGCGCCUCCUCUUCAUGUAUAGUUAUCUUCGUUUUCCAUACCUGACUCGGUGUCUCAGUCUCCUCUGGAUAAUUCUGUUUAAACUCAACGUCUUCUGAUCUUAUCACUUCUCCUUCGUAGUCUGCCCAUCCGUCCUUGAUGAUCCGCCUCCUCUGGUUGCGGUUGCGUCGCUUUCUGACCUGCUUAGAUUCUUCAACGAUAUAGUUAGGGUCAGUAAAAUAACGGCGUACCUUCUCUGAGGGUUGGUGCAUAUGGACUUCUCCGGUUCCAAUGUAGAUAAUUGCUUUAACCGUGCUGAGGAACGGUCUUCCAAGGAUGAUGGGAGGAUCAUAUUCAUCUUCUCCCAUGUCAAUAACUUGAAAGUCUGUGUAGACAAAGUGAUCGUCUAUUUUGACUGGGACAUCAGUUACUAUUCCUUUAACUUCUCAAAAUGUCUGAUCUGCCAUCUGGAGCUGAAUGUAUGUUGGUCUUAGGGGCAUGGUUCCGACAAGAGCCGAUAGGUGACUGCGGCCAUUAUGUUGACGCCUGAUCCAAUGUCACAAGUUGCCUGGUAGAAGUUGUAUCCAUUUAUGGACCAGUAGAUGCUUGGCAUUCCUGGGUCGUCCUUCUUGGUCAAAAGUGGUGACUUAAGUUGAUGAUCUUGGCCUCCAUGAACUACAGUGACCAUCUUAGCUGACUCGGUCCACACUCGCUUGUUCCUGUUCCUCCUGUUGGUCCUCUUCCUUGACUCACGUUUGGAUUGAUCUGGAAUUUGUGUAGUCUUGUUCUUGAAGAAAAAUGUCUCCUUCCUCCCUUUGACAUAGAAACUGAUCUUGGCAGCACUAGCGUAGAUGAUAGCUCCCGUGGUGUUCAAGAAUGGCCUCCCUAGGAUGAUUGGUGCUCUCUCAUCAUUUCCGGUCUCUACCACUGCGAAGUCUGCUAGAGCAUAUAAGGUACCAACUCGGACGCAAAGGUUCUUAAAUAUUCCCUUUGGAAAAGUUAUCGUCUGAUCUGCAAACUGCAAACACAUGGUUGUCUCUAAUAAAGGAUAUGUAAAGAAUUUUUCAUAGAGUACCAUGGGUAUAAUGUUGACGCUAGAGCCAAAGUCGCAGAGUGCUUCUGGAACGUCCACCAUGCCGAUGGAGAUCGGGAUGACGGGGCGUCCUGGAUCGCCUCUCUUGACCGGCACAAGGUCAGUAGAGAAUUCAGUGACGGGGUUACUCCAAUUACCUGCAUCAAACAUGUCUACAAGAUUUGCAGAUUCUAAUCCUUCCAGUUGUGAUGGUAUACCGGGGUUAGUAGUAGGAACAGCAGCAGCUAUUUGAUUUAACUAAGAUUCAAUCAUUUUAUUAAAGCUAAUUUGAUUCUUGAUGGCAGUAGAGAAAUUAUCCAUUCUAUUAUUUAUAUUUUCUAGCAUUUUAUCAUUAGAUGCCAAUUUCUUAGAUAGGUUAUCCAUUAGCUUUCCUUGAUUAGACACUAACUCUUUCAAAGGUGGAAAAUUAUUAUUAUUGUUGUAAGAAUUGUUACCUUGAUAAUUACCUGAGUAUUUAGGCCUCUGUUGAUUCCAACCUUGAUUUUGUUGAGGACGGUUGUAGUAGUUGUUGUUGUUGUUGUUGAUGUAGUUCACAUCCUCAAGUAUCUCAGGGCAGUGGUUGCCUGAGUGUCCAGUAUCUCCACACUCCUCACAAGUCAUGUGAGAGUCGUAGAUGUGCAUAACUUCUUUCUUGUCUCCAGCUCUAUCGCCGAGCUUCUUCAUGAGCAGGUCUAGCUUUGCAGACAGCAUGUCUACCUCCUUCAGCUGAUGCAUACCUCCACCUCUCUUGCGUGUCUGGGUCCUCUCUUCAUUCCAGCUUUGAUUGGACGCCAUCUUCUCCACAAGAGCUGUAGCUUGUGGUAUGGUAAGUGAUAAGAAUGCUCCUCCGGCUGCAGCAUCCAUGGUUUCUCGGGCACUGUUACCGAGCCCAUGAUAAAAUGUCUGCAUCAAUAGCCAACUCUCCAUUCCAUGAUGGGGACAUUCUAGGAUGUAGUCUUGGAAGCGCUCCCAUGCUUCUGGAAUGGAUUCAUCAUUUUGUUGCUAAAAACUUGUAAUCUUCCCACGGAGAGCAUUGGUCUUGCCCAUGGGAAAGAACUUUGCUAGGAAGUAUGUUGAGCAGAGUCCCCAUGUAGUAUUCUUCUCCUUUGUAGCGUAGAACCACUGCUUCACUCUUCCUAACAGUGAGAAUGGGAAGAGGUGAAGUAGUAUAGCAUCUUUGGAAACUCCUGAUAUGGUGAAUGUGUUGCAAAUCUCUAGGAAGUGUUGUAAAUGAGCACUAGCAUCUUCGUGUGCCUUCCCACAGAACUGGUUGGAUUGCACCAUGUUGAUAAGUCCAGGCUUGAGCUCAAAGUUACCAUCGAUCUCUGCAGCAGGUCCAGUGCGGAUGUUGUCCAUAGUGGGAGCUGAGAACUCGCGGAUUGAUUUGUUCACCAUGGCUUCGAACUCUGAAGACAAGUUCCGGUGAUCUUCUUGAUUGGAUGAAGCUUCUUGCUGAAGUGUUGACGAUCUUUUCUUGAGGUUGGCUCCCGCCUUCUUGAAUAAUGCUUCGGGAUUGUCAACAAAAUUUCCUGGAAGAUGUCUUCUAUUCAUACAUUCCCCUGCAUAAGAUAAAAUAGAAAAAUAUCGGGGUAAAACUGUAUGAGAGAAUAGAUAAGCUCAAUCACAUUAGUGAUGCGAAUGAUAACUCAAAAUCUUUUAUUCUAUUCCUGAUUAUUAAUCAACCUUCCCCGGCAACGGCGCCAAAAAUGCUUCUUGGGUAUUCUUAACAUCAUUACCAAAAGUAGACUAAGUUCUCUAAAUCUAGUAACGGUGCCAAAAAUGCCAAACCUAUCCCCCACACCACUUAAGCCAAGUUGUCAUCCCCAGCAUGAUAUACUAGACGCGCUAUUGAAAUAUGCAAUUGCUCUUCUAAAUAAAUAAUGAAUGGGAUCUGCAAGCGCACAGAUUAAUACCGAUGUAGCAUUUUAACCGGGAAGUAUUCCAGGUAUCGUUAUUUAUAUUUUUACCACUCGGAAGGGAUUAGCAAUCAUCACUAUUGAUUACAGAAUAGAAUAUGAGAUUGAGCAUCUAUCAUUGCAUGUAUAAUUGAACAUUAUAUCUAACUCUUCAUACAGGGAUAAUUGUCACAUAAAAGAUAUAUGAAAUAAUAAUAGUGACAAGGAUAACUAAUCUGAUCUAGCCACAUAAUAAAUAUGAUAAGCACCUCAAUUAGAUACUCUAGAAAGCCAUUAGCAUGGUAUUAGAACGAACUACAAGAAUAUUCCCUAAGUUAUUCUCAACUAUAUAGUCUAGCAUUAUCAUAAUUAGUGCAAGCAUACUUAGCAAUCAUUGUGAGACAAGACUACGCCCAUGCAUAGUGAUAUUAGCAAGGAAUAUGAGAAACAUAGCAAUCACUCCCCUGUAAUAAUGUUGCUCUGCCAGCCCAAUACACGAGAGGGGGACUAUAUAAGAAUCAAUGAAGCUGUCACUAUCACGAACCACCCCACGAUCUGGCAUAUUGGGUACAAUCACAGAUAAAUAUGGUAUAAGCACCACGCCUACACAAUAUCUAUCAUUUACCCAUGGAUCCGAUGGAUAAACGCUAUACGAUCCUAAGCAUUUAUAUAGAUCGAAUCUAACUAAGCCAAGUACAUAACUAUGAUAAACUAAGAACAAUAUAAUCUUGAAUAUAAGCAAGUAGAGCAAAGUCAUAAGCAAUAUAUUGAAGUAGAACAAAGUCAUAUUCAUAAUAUUGAAGAACAAAGAUAAUUAGAAAGUAAUUAGAAGCACAAUUAGAGAAUUACCAAGAAUCCUCUUGACAGAUCCGGAAACCAAUCGAAGAUUGACUCCUUCUAGUUCUAAUCCUAUGUAGCUAUGCUAAUCUAGAUAUCUAAUUGAUGUGGUGGCCCUAAUCUUGAUCAGAGGCUUCUUCUCCCUUGAGAAUAAUGAAUUAGGGUUGAGAGGCUCUCUCCUCUAGGGGCCAGGGGGUCUGGUUUAUAGUCCCUUCAAGUGAAUAUGGGCCGUUGGAUCAAACCGACAUAGAUUGUAUGGUUUAGAUUCAUCCUUUAGGUCGGUGGAAAUCUCCCACGAAGCAGAGUCCUGAUUGGACUCAGGGAGGGGGCGGGCGCCCAGGGCAGGAGGGCGGGCGCCCUGCCUCUGGCCCCGUUUCGCCUCCGCUUCGGUCUCGUGGCUUCUGGAGUCUUCUAGAUGUAAGAUAAUUGCGCGGCACGUUAAUAUCUCUAUGUAAUCCCGACGUGUGGGCCUUCCUUCCGUAUUUCCUGAUAACCCCCUGCAGAAAUAGACAAACACCAAAACUCGUGGAAUUCUGUCAGAUAAAACCCUAAGUCUAGAUCUUGAUUUCAUUUGGAUCCUUUUCUUUAUUUAUUUGAUAAUUAAAUUUGAUACUUAAGGACCGUCAACAGAUGUGAAAACCUUUCAUUCCUCGACGCUUAUUCUGGCUACCAUCAAAUAAAGAUGAAAGAAUCUGACCAGCUCGCGACAUCUUUCAUCACGCCCUUUGGGAUGUAUUGUUAUGUAACCAUGCCCUUCGGGCUUUGAAACACUGGGGCGACAUACCAGCGAUGCAUGCUCCACGUGUUUUUCGAACACAUAGGGUCGACGGUCGAGGCAUACAUCGAUGACAUCGUCGUCAAAUCAAAAAAGCGAGGUGACCUGAUUUAGGAUCUCGAGAUCGCCUUUAGUUGUUUACGCGCUAAUAGAAUCAAGCUCAACUCCGAGAAGUGCGUCUUCGGCGUGCCUCGAGGCAUGCUUCUGGGUUAUAUUUUCUCCCAACGCAGCAUCGAGGCUAAUCCCAAGAAAGUAUUGGCUGUUGCAAGGAUGGGGCCUGUUGGGUAUUCUUAACAUCAUUACCAAAAGUAGACUAAGUUCUCUAAAUCUAGUAAUGGUGCCAAAAAUGCCAAACCUAUCCCUCACACCACUUAAGCUAAGUUGUCAUCCCCAGCAUGACAUGAGAGACGCGGUAUUGAAAUAUGCAAUUGCUCUUCUAAAUAAAUAAUGAAUGGGAUCUGCAAGCGCACAGAUUAAUACUGAUGCAGCAUUUUAACCGAGAAGUAUUCUAGGUAUCGUUAUUUAUAUUUUUACCACUGGGAAGGGAUUAGCAAUCAUCACUAUUGAUUACAGAAUAGAAUAUGAGAUUGAGCAUCUAUCAUUGCAUGUAUAAUUGAGAACAUUAUAUCUAACUCUUCAUACAGGGAUAAGUGUCACAUAAAAGAUAUAUGAAAUAAUAAUAGUGACAAGGAUAACUAAUCUGAUCUAGCCACAUAAUAAAUAUGAUAAGCACCUCAAUUAGAUACUCUAGAAAGUCAUUAGCAUGGUAUUAGAACGAACUAUAAGAAUAUUCCCUAAGUUAUUCUCAACUAUAUAGUCUAGCAAUAUCAUAAUUAGUGCAAGCAUACUUAGCAAUCAUUGUGAGACAAGACUACGCCCAUGCAUAGUGAUAUUAGCAAGAAAUAUGAGAAACAUAGCAAUCACUCCCCUGUAAUAAUGUUGCUCUGCCAGCCCAAUACACGAGAGGGGGAAUAUAUAAGAAUCAAUGAAGCUGUCACUAUCACGAACCACCCCACGAUCUGGCAUAUUGGGUACAAUCGCAGAUAAAUACGGUAUAAGCACCACGCCUACACAAUAUCUAUCAUUUACCCAUGGAUCCGAUGGAUAAACGCUAUACGAUCCUAAGCAUGUAUAUAGAUCCAAUCUAACUAAGCCAAGUACAUAACUAUGAUAAACUAAGAACAAUAUAAUCUUGAAUAUAAGCAAAUAGAGCAAAGUCAUAAGCAAUAUAUUGAAGUAGAACAAAGUCAUAUUCAUAAUAUUAAAGAACAAAGAUAAUUAGAAAGCAAUUAGAAGCACAAUUAGAGAAUUACCAAGAAUCCUCCUGACAGAUCUGGAAACCAAUCGAAGAUUGACUCCUUCUAGUUCUAAUCCUAUGUAGCUAUGCUAAUCUAGAUAUCUAAUUGAUGUGGUGGCUCUAAUCUUGAUCAGAGGCUUCUUCUCCCUUGAGAAUAAUGAAUUAGGGUUGAGAGGCUCUCUCCUCCAAGGGCCAGGGGGUCUGGUUUUAUAGUCCCUUCAAGUGAAUAUGGGCCGUUGGUUCAAACCGGCAUAGAUUGUAUGGUUUAGAUUCAUCCUUUAGGUCGGUGGAAAUCUCCCGCAAAGCAGAGUCCUGAUUGGACUCAGGAGGUGGGCGGGCGCCCUGACCAACUGGGCGGGCGCCCAGGGUCAGGCCCCGUUUUGCCUCCGCUUCGGUCUCGUGGCUUCUGGAGUCUUCUAGAUGUAAGAUAAUUGCACGGCACGUUAAUAUCUCUAUGUAAUCCCGACGUGUGGACCUUUCUUCUGUAUUUCCUGAUAACCUCUUGCAGAAAUAGACAAACACCAAAACUCGUGGAAUUCUGUCAGAUAAAACCCUAAGUCUAGAUCUUAAUUUCAUUUGGAUCCUUUUCUUUAUUUAUUUGAUAAUUAAAUUUGAUACUUAAGGACCGUCAACAAACUCCCCCAAGCUUACCUCUUGCUCGUCCCUGAGCAAGGAUAGACUCAGCUAAGGAUCAUAAGUUGUUGCAAUAUCUUAAAAAAUUGACGGUACACAUGCUUUUUAAAUAAGAUCUUAUCUCUGAGUUAGAGUAAACUGUCAAGACUUAAAACUUACUUACUUUACCUUCACCAUGGGACUUGUAACCGUCACUUCUGUCUUGAGUAGUUAAAAGAUAGAACAGUCUAGUCAAGUGCCAUAUCUCUUAUUCUUGAUCAGCUAUAACUCUGGGGUUUUUGCAGAUUUUCAAAUAAAACUCAGAAAUUCCUUGUAUGAUUCUCUCAUAUCUCUCUUUUGUGGUAUUUCUGGAUUCUUACCAAGGCAGUGAUGGUAUAUGCCUUCUCUCAAUAUAUGUAGUAUUUGUGGUAUGAGGCAUAGUGAUAUUGCCUUCUCUCUCACCUUACUCUAAUAAGGCAUUUAAUAUCUGGAGCUCAUAGGUGGGAGAUAAAAUAUACAUACUUACAAGACAUUUAUUGUAUAGUCAAACAUGGAUCCAAAGAAACAAAUCAAUAAGUCAAAUCAAGAUGUGCAAGUGUGGCGAAUGAAUGGUGUAUGGUGAUGAUGGUGAUAACAAUGGUGGUGGAAGUCUAAUUCUACUUUGCUCUUUUAGGGAAUACAUACCUUCCUUGCUUUUGAAACUUUAUGAGGAGAAUGAGAUGCUCUUCUUUUUCUUUUCUCUUAGGUGGGUAUCUUGUACCCCUAAUUCUACUGUCGGACACUUGUCCAUUUUUACCUCUCGUCUCACUUUUUCUUUUCUUUCGAGGUUCCGAGCACUUGCUCCUUUUUAUUUCCUCGUAUUUAUAAUUUUUUUUCUUUUUUUUUAGAGCACUCAUCUCAUGAGAUAAUAUAGCAAGUGGUAGUAACAAGAUAACUUGAGCAUUUAUUUCACAAGGGAAAACAGAAAUAUUUUUGGCUAUUCUCUCCCGGAUUAGGAGUAGAAUAUUUUUGAGUGGUUCUGGAGAUGGAAAUGGAUGGAUAUAUGUGGAUGGUACUUCCGGAGUAGAAGUAGCAUAUAUGAGUGAAUGUGCAAGUGAAUCUUGAUUUAACCACAUGACAAGCUCCUAAAGGUCUACACAGCUUGACCACACUCAAUGCUCAUAAGCAGUAAAUAGUAAAUGUGUGGCUCAAAGUCUAGCAAGCAUGUAUAUAUGGCUGUGGUAGGAAUUUAAACUCUCAUCAUACAGGAACUCAUCAUGCAACAUUUUAAAGAUUUUCAAAGAUAAAAUUCUCCAGAAUUCUAGCAUCUCUAGGAACAGAUAAACAGCAGCUCAACCUUCCCAUAUCGUAUCCGUUAACAACUUAGACUUCAGAUCAAGUUUUCAUCCCACAAGUUUAGAUCUAGAGCAAGCUUUAAAUUAUAAUAGUUAUGUCUAAACUUGAGAGAGAACUUAAAAUGUGCAAAUUAGGCAGAGCAACUAUUCAUCAUAUCCAUGCUUAAGUUUUAUUUAGAUACAGAUUAGCAUAGCCACUUUAUUUAUUUAUUAAACACACUAAGCAAAAGAUAUAUAUAUAAACACAAAAUCUUUAUUUGGUUUUUCAUAGUUAUGUAUAUUUAUAUUCUAAAAUAAUAUAAGUAUAAAGAUAGAUAGAUAAAAAUACUUAUCGAGAUAAAUGGGGGUGCUCUCACCCAAGCUGAAUUUUGACGUAAUUUUUUCUUGAUGUAGCUAGCAGGUGGCAGAGGUGUAUUUGAAAGUCAGCAGCAUUCUGACAGCGAUUAGAAUGUCCUCCGUCUGCUAGUCUUCCUGAUUCUUAAAUUCUGUGGAGUUCAAAUAGACAACAAAGCUUGUGGAACUUGAUUAAGUGUUAGCAUAAAUAUCUAGCCCUUAUCUUGUUGAGACUCGUUAAUUAAUUAUUACUCCCUGUUUUUAUAUUUUUAUUUUAUAAAGCAGAAAAGAAAUAUUUAUUUUAUUUUUAUGCCACCACAGUGAAUGUACUUAUGGGUUUUAUGCCACUCGCAUACUCACAUGGGGCUUACUGUUUUUCACAUUUUUAUUUUCUUUUUAAGAUAAUACGAACAUGAUUAACUAAGUAAACUAGUUGAAAUAAUUGAAAGGAAAAGGAUAACUAUCAAGUUUACCUCUUGGCAAGGCAUUCGGUGUUUUUAAGUCCUCCGAACAGGACUCUCCAAUUUCUUAAUCGUCCUUAGGUUUGUUGGGUGGCAUAGUCCGUAGUUCCGGCAGCGCCUCCUCUUCAUGUAUAGUUAUCUUCAUUUUCCAUACCUGACUCGGUGCUUCAAUCUCCUCUGGAUAAUUUUGUUUAAACUCAAUGUCUUCUGACCUUACAACUUCUCCUUCAUAGUCUGCCCAUCCGUCCUUGAUGAUCUGCCUCCUCUGGUUGAGGUUGUGUCUCUUUCUGACCUGCUUAGAUUCUUCAACGAUAUAGUCAGGGUCAAUAAAAUAACGGCGUACCUUCUCUGAGGGGAAGUGCAUAUGGACUUCUCCGGUUCCAAUGUAGAUAAUUGCUUUAACGGUACUGAGGAACGGUCUUCCAAGGAUGAUGGGUGGAUCAUACUCAUCUUCUCCCAUGUCAAUAACUUGAAAGUCUGUGUAGACAAAGUGAUCGUCUAUUUUGACUGGGACAUCAGUUACUGUUCCUUUAACUUCUCGAAAUGUCUAAUCUGCCAUCUGAAGCUGAAUGUAUGUUGGUCUUAGUGGCAUGGUUCCGAACAAGAGCCGAUAGGUGACUACAGCCAUUAUGUUGACACCCGAUCUGGUGUCGCAAAUCGUCUUGUAGAAGCUAUAUCCAUGUAUGGAGCAGUAGAUGCUUGACAUUCCUGGGUCGUCCUUCUUGGUCAAAAACGGUGACUUAAGUUGUUGAUCUUGGCCUCCAUGAACUGCAGUGACCAUCUUAACUGACUCGGUUCACACUUGCUUGUUCCUAUUCCUCCUGUUGGUCCUCUUCCUUGAUUCACGUCUGGAUUGAUCUGGGAUUUGUGUAGUCUUGUUCUUGAAAAAAAAUGUCUCCUUCUUCCCUUUGACGUAGAAACUGAUCUUGGCAGCACUAGCGUAGAUGAUAGCUCCCGUGGUGUUCAAGAAUGGCCUCCCUAGGAUGAUAGGUGCUCUCUCAUCAUUUCCGGUCUCUACCACUACGAA
This 11710-nucleotide long non-coding RNA is filed under the name Sorghum bicolor (sorghum). RNAcentral's name for it is "long non-coding RNA (SBIC_LNC017667)". The stretch from base 4065 to 4171 matches the Rfam family "Plant small nucleolar RNA R71". Lineage: Eukaryota; Viridiplantae; Streptophyta; Magnoliopsida; Poales; Poaceae. The record is from RNAcentral.